Molecule: long non-coding RNA, 1014 nt
Organism: Pan paniscus (pygmy chimpanzee)
Lineage: Eukaryota; Metazoa; Chordata; Mammalia; Primates; Hominidae
Source: Ensembl
CUUUUCCCAUGGCUGGACAUACCAUGGAGCCAGUUAAAAUAAUACUCCUCAUUAAUAAGGUGCUAGUUCAAAUGUCACCUCCUGAAAGAGGGCUUCUCUGACCACCUUAGCCACAGGAAAUACUCUUCACAUAUUAUAUGAGAACCUUAUAACAGUAUACUUCCAUUUCUCCUCUCCAGACCUUUCUGCUGUUGUUAUGCAUUUUACUUAUGCACAUGUUAUAAACUGCAUAAUACAUUUUUUGCUUAGUCACUUUCUAUCCCAUUACCCCAACUUAUUUUGUUAAUACUGUUUGCUACCUGGAAUUAUCUAAUUUAUCUACUUGUUCAUUUUCUGUUUUUUCAACCUAGAAUGCAAAUUGCAAGAGGGCAGAUAAAUGGUUCAUUCUGUUUCUAUUCACCAUUUCAUCGCAGGAAUGGAAGCAUAAUAGGCUCUCAGAACAUUUUUGUUCAGUGUUCAAUUGAUGAACAUAGGAGAGAGCUCAGGCUAACUUGGAAGUCAUUUAUGUGUAAGCACAGGUGAGUGUGAGUAUUGGUGAGUGUGAAGUUAGUCUCUUUGGAAUAUAUUCUCAAUCUUUCUGCUAUCUUUCACCAUCUCCUUCUCUUUUCCAAAGGGCAACUGGUUGUUACAGAAAAGAGAACAUUCAAGAAAUCAUGGAGGUGGAAUACAGGAACCUGGGCACCACAUACACAGAUUACGUGUUGCUCCGGGUUCUUUUGCCUUGACUCCAUAUCUGCCCCCUCAGUCUCUCCAGGACACAAUGUGGAAAACAUGGCCACUGACAGAUCUUUGCUGGAAAGUUUAUAUUCAUUGAUUGCUCAAGGCAAGUGCUGCAGCUUGGUGAAAUCCCUUUCUAAAAAUAAAAAUGUACAACAGGUACUCAGAUAUCCUUACACUGCCUACUUUCCACCGCUGACUUCCACUUCCCUCCAAGAAAGUAGAAGUUUGUGGGAAAUGGAAAAUAUGGAAGGUGGGUAAACAAUGGGGGAUCGGAAAAGGAGAAAAGAGAAAGAG